UACGAAGGGUGCAAGCGUUACUCGGAAUUACUGGGCGUAAAGCGCGCGUAGGUGGCUUCGUAAGUCCGUUGUGAAAGUCAAAGGCUCAACCUUUGAAAGCCGAUGGAUACUGCGGAGCUAGAGUACGGAAGAGGCGAGUGGAAUUCCUGGUGUAGCGGUGGAAUGCGCAGAUAUCAGGAGGAACACCCAAUAGCGGAAAGGCAG
Molecule: ribosomal RNA, 204 nt
Filed under: uncultured bacterium
Lineage: Bacteria
Description: partial 16S ribosomal RNA
Rfam family: Bacterial small subunit ribosomal RNA
Source: RNAcentral